UGGGGGCAGGAUAAACCAACAGCCCAGGUGGCCUUUGCCCGAGCCUUGUUGCCACCUCGAAGCCCACCGCUCCUCUGGCUGGAAGCACUUCUGUGAUUGCAAGGUCACUGAAAAAUCUGGCGAUGUUCCCAGCUGGAGCCGCUCCAAGAACCCUUCCUGCCCCUGGCGUAUUGUCCUGAAUUUCUGCAGCUUGUAGGAGAAGGUGGCUCCCGGUGGCCACAGCAACCCGGCCACACCCAGCAGACUCGGAAGGAAUGCAGCACACCUGCGCAGGAUCUCAGUUCCCAGAAUCCCCCCUGGGGAGGCAGCUAAUCUGCCCUAAAUCCUGGGCUCCCCUGCGGAUCUGCAUAAGGAAACCCUUUGUGAGGGAUGGCAGGCUUUGAAGGAGGCGGCAGGGGUCCUUCCUCCAGACAUCCCCAGCCAUGUAUCCAGAAGACCCACCUGCUGGGAGCCCAGGCUCCUUCAAACUGCAUCUACAUCAGUUUCCUGUUUCCUUCUGUCCUGGGAGACAGGACGUCCUGCCUGAGUCAGGAAUUACUCCAACUCCUUACAGGAGCGUGCUACCCUUCCAUGGAGUGACAUCUCUCGAGCACCUGCCAUGGAGGGCUUGUGCUAGGCUCCGUGCCUAGCAAUGAGAACACUCAACCCCCCGGGGCCAGGACAGCCUCCUGAGGAAGGUGGCUCCUGGGCUAUGCCCUAGGGCCAAGCAGGAGCCCCCGAGCAAUGGACGGGUGGGGUGGGGUGGGUCACACCACACUGAGCAAACAGCACGUGUACCAGCAGGGAAGCUUCUGGGAAGUGUGAGUGGUUCAGAAGGUGAGCCCACAGCACACAGGUGCUGGGAGGAGAGGCCAGGGGAGGGGGCAGCAGUGUGCUGGUGAGGGUUUCACAACCAGCCCUCUGCAAAAGGUAGUUCAUGCGUACAUGCGUGGGUCCGCGUACUCUCCAUUCUGCUGGUGCAAAGGGAGGGUAGCACGCAAUUUGCAAACAAUAAUAGACGGUACUUUUUACUGCAAAUUCCAUAGAGCCAAUGAAUGUACACAGAGCACUUUGGAUCCUUUUGCCAAAUUGUAUUGGUAGCCAACUUACGGUCGCGGUUCAAUUAUGAUUUGACGGUCUUUUGUGCUUUUCCCCAUGCAACCGUUACAAACAGCUCAUCUGCGUUAUUAAUAAUUUCUCCAUCACUUUCUUAAGUCUAGAUAAUCUACAAAAGUGUCAGUCCAGCCCUGACUGGUAGUGUUUCCUCGUGUCCGCUCUGCUCACUGUCCAGUCGUGGCUAAUCACAAGCUGCCCCCACGACAUCGCUGAACACAGAGCUGGGACAAGACGCGCGGCGGGGAAAGUGUCAGAAUUUCUGCCAUUUGGGUCCAACAGACACCAAUAACCACAGAACGCAGGUAACCCUGGGCUCCCAGAGCCAGUAUGAGCCAGCACCAGCCCACUCUGCAGGGAGAGGUGGAGAGCAGAGGCAGGGACGGCCAGUCCAAGGUACGUGGGAAAGGGGGCCAUGGAGGGCGCGGAUGUGAACGCGCCACCCCCAGCUGAACGGACCCCCUGAGCGAGUGUACUAUCUUACACCACAAAAGGAUUAAGGUAACAGAUGGAACUGAAGCUGUCAAUCAGCUGGCCUCAAAAUAGGGAGAUUGUUCUGGAUUACCCAGGGGGGCCCAAAGGAGUCAUGAGGAUCCUUCAGUAUGGCAGAGGGAGGCAGGAGAGAAGCUCAGAGUGAUGGGGGCACAGAGGUGGCCCCGCCGAUCUACUUUGAAGUGGAGGAAGGGCCACGAGCCAGGAAGGGGGGUGGCCUCUGGAAGCUGGACGUCUCCCCCCAGAGCCUCCCGGAGGAGCCUGCCCUGCAGACGCCUCCAUUCAGCCCAGUGAGGCUUGUGUCAGACUUCCAGCCUCCAGAAGCAUAAGGUGAUACAUUUGUGUUGUUUUAGACCACAAAGUUUGUGGAAACUUGUUACAGCUACCACGGGAGCCUAG
Molecule: long non-coding RNA, 1983 nt
Organism: Leptonychotes weddellii (Weddell seal)
Lineage: Eukaryota; Metazoa; Chordata; Mammalia; Carnivora; Phocidae
Source: RefSeq, a predicted model, not a curated record